UCACAUGUGAAAUCCCCGGGCUUAACCUGGGAACUGCAUGUGAUACUGGUGGUGCUAGAAUAUGUGAGAGGGAAGUAGAAUUCCAGGUGUAGCGGUGAAAUGCGUAGAGAUCUGGAGGAAUACCGAUGGCGAAGGCAGCUUCCUGGCAUAAUAUUGACACUGAGAUUCGAAAGCGUGGGUAGCAAACAGGAUUAGAUACCCUGGUAGUCCACGCCGUAAACGAUGUCUACUAGCCGUUGGGGUCCUUGAGACUUUAGUGGCGCAGUUAACGCGAUAAGUAGACCGCCUGGGGAGUACGGCCGCAAGGUUAAAACUCAAAUGAAUUGACGGGGGCCCGCACAAGCGGUGGAGCAUGUGGUUUAAUUCGAUGCAACGCGAAGAACCUUACCUGGUCUUGACAUAGUGAGAAUCCUGCAGAGAUGCGGGAGUGCCUUCGGGAAUUCACAUACAGGUGCUGCAUGGCUGUCGUCAGCUCGUGUCGUGAGAUGUUGGGUUAAGUCCCGCAACGAGCGCAACCCUUUUCCUUAUUUGCCAGCGGGUUAAGCCGGGAACUUUAAGGAUACUGCCAGUGACAAACUGGAGGAAGGCGGGGACGACGUCAAGUCAUCAUGGCCCUUACGACCAGGGCUACACACGUGCUACAAUGGUAGGUACAGAGGGUUGCUACACAGCGAUGUGAUGCUAAUCUCAAAAAGCCUAUCGUAGUCCGGAUUGGAGUCUGCAACUCGACUCCAUGAA
This 738-nucleotide ribosomal RNA is filed under the name Moraxella sp. 10.4.1-B8. RNAcentral's name for it is "bacterial SSU rRNA". It matches the Rfam family "Bacterial small subunit ribosomal RNA", at positions 588 to 1324 of the family's 1533-position model. The record is from RNAcentral. Lineage: Bacteria; Pseudomonadati; Pseudomonadota; Gammaproteobacteria; Moraxellales; Moraxellaceae.